Non-coding RNA from Crocodylus porosus (Australian saltwater crocodile), 76 nucleotides. The record is from Ensembl. Lineage: Eukaryota; Metazoa; Chordata; Crocodylia; Crocodylidae.
GCUGGGUUGGCAGAGCCUGGCUUAAUGCAAAAGACCUAAGCCCUUUUAUCCAGAGAUUCAAAUUCUCUACCCAGCA